GUGCUGGAACGUUAAGGGGACCGGUCAGCUCCACUUCGGUGGGGCGAAGCUGAGAACUUAAGCGCCAGUAAACGGCGGUGGUAACUAUAACCAUCCUAAGGUAGCGAAAUUCCUUGUCGGGUAAGUUCCGACCUGCACGAAUGGCGUAACGACUUCUCGACUGUCUCAACCAUAGGCCCGGUGAAAUUGCACUACGAGUAAAGAUGCUCGUUUCGCGCAGCAGGACGGAAAGACCCCGGGACCUUUACUACAGUUUGAUAUUGGUGUUCGGUUCGGCUUGUGUAGGAUAGCUGGGAGACUGUGAAGCGGCCACGCCAGUGGUCGUGGAGUCGUCGUUGAAAUACCAGUCUGGUCGUGCUGGAUGUCUAACCUGGGUCCGUGAUCCGGAUCAGGGACAGUGUCUGAUGGGUAGUUUAACUGGGGCGGUUGCCUCCUAAAGGGUAACGGAGGCGCCCAAAGGUUCCCUCAGCCUGGUUGGCAAUCAGGUGGUGAGUGUAAGUGCACAAGGGAGCUUGACUGUGAGACCGACGGGUCGAGCAGGGACGAAAGUCGGGACUAGUGAUCCGGCGGUGGCUUGUGGAAGCGCCGUCGCUCAACGGAUAAAAGGUACCCCGGGGAUAACAGGCUGAUCUUCCCCAAGAGUCCAUAUCGACGGGAUGGUUUGGCACCUCGAUGUCGGCUCGUCGCAUCCUGGGGCUGGAGUCGGUCCCAAGGGUUGGGCUGUUCGCCCAUUAAAGCGGUACGCGAGCUGGGUUUAGAACGUCGUGAGACAGUUCGGUCCCUAUCCGCUGUGCGCGCAGGAGUCUUGAGAAGGGCUGUCCCUAGUACGAGAGGACCGGGACGGACGAACCUCUGGUGUGCCAGUUGUCCUGCCAAGGGCAUGGCUGGUUGGCUACGUUCGGGAGGGAUAACCGCUGAAAGCAUCUAAGCGGGAAGCCUGCUUCGAGAUGAGGACUCCCACCCACUUGAUGGGGUAAGGCUCCCAGCAGACGACUGGGUUGAUAGGCCGGAUCUGGAAGCACGGUAACGUGUGGAGGUGACCGGUACUAAUAGGCCGAGGGCUUGUCCUCAGCUG
RNAcentral lists this ribosomal RNA (1075 nucleotides) under Streptomyces sp. NWU49. RNAcentral describes it as "bacterial LSU rRNA". It matches the Rfam family "Bacterial large subunit ribosomal RNA", at positions 1866 to 2925 of the family's 2925-position model. The record is from RNAcentral. Lineage: Bacteria; Bacillati; Actinomycetota; Actinomycetes; Kitasatosporales; Streptomycetaceae.